Molecule: ribosomal RNA, 162 nt
Filed under: Diospyros mun
Lineage: Eukaryota; Viridiplantae; Streptophyta; Magnoliopsida; Ericales; Ebenaceae
Description: 5.8S ribosomal RNA
Source: RNAcentral
GCACGUCUGCCUGGGCGUCACGCACGCCGUCGCCCCCUCGCCCCGCGCCGUCCCCCAAGGGGACGGGUGCGCGGGCGGCAGGGCGGAGCCUGGCCCCCCGUGCCCGCGAGGGCGCGGUCGGCCCAAAAAGAGGGAUCCCGGUGGGAGCGGUCACGGCCGGUG